AUUGAACGCUGGCGGCAUGCUUUACACAUGCAAGUCGAACGGUAACAGGCCGCAAGGUGCUGACGAGUGGCGAACGGAUGAGUAAUGCAUCGGAACGUGCCCAGUCGUGGGGGAUAACUACUCGAAAGAGUAGCUAAUACCGCAUACGAUCUAUGGAUGAAAGCGGGGGACCGUAAGGCCUCGCGCGAUUGGAGCGGCCGAUGUCAGAUUAGGUAGUUGGUGGGGUAAAGGCUCACCAAGCCAACGAUCUGUAGCUGGUCUGAGAGGACGACCAGCCACACUGGGACUGAGACACGGCCCAGACUCCUACGGGAGGCAGCAGUGGGGAAUUUUGGACAAUGGGCGCAAGCCUGAUCCAGCAAUGCCGCGUGCAGGAAGAAGGCCUUCGGGUUGUAAACUGCUUUUGUACGGAACGAAACGGCUCUGGUUAAUACCCGGGGCUAAUGACGGUACCGUAAGAAUAAGCACCGGCUAACUACGUG
Molecule: ribosomal RNA, 482 nt
Filed under: uncultured bacterium
Lineage: Bacteria
Description: partial 16S ribosomal RNA
Rfam family: Bacterial small subunit ribosomal RNA
Source: RNAcentral